UACAGAGGGGGCAAGCGUUGUUCGGAAUUACUGGGCGUAAAGGGUGCGUAGGCGGGUCUUUAAGUCAGGGGUGAAAUCCUGGAGCUCAACUCCAGAACUGCCUUUGAUACUGAAGAUCUUGAGUUCGGGAGAGGUGAGUGGAACUGCGAGUGUAGAGGUGAAAUUCGUAGAUAUUCGCAAGAACACCAGUGGCGAAGGCGGCUCACUGGCCCGAUACUGACGCUGAUGCACGAAAGCGUGGGGAGCAAACAGG
This 253-nucleotide ribosomal RNA is filed under the name uncultured bacterium. RNAcentral describes it as "partial 16S ribosomal RNA". It matches the Rfam family "Bacterial small subunit ribosomal RNA", at positions 524 to 776 of the family's 1533-position model. The record is from RNAcentral.